RNAcentral lists this ribosomal RNA (253 nucleotides) under uncultured bacterium. RNAcentral describes it as "partial 16S ribosomal RNA". It matches the Rfam family "Bacterial small subunit ribosomal RNA", at positions 524 to 776 of the family's 1533-position model. The record is from RNAcentral.
UACAGAGGAUGCAAGCGUUAUCCGGAAUUAUUGGGCGUAAAGCGUCUGUAGGUGGCUCUUUAAGUUCGCCGUCAAAUCCCAGGGCUCAACCCUGGACAGGUGGUGGAAACUACCAAGCUAGAGUACGGUAGGGGCAGAGGGAAUUUCCGGUGGAGCGAUGAAAUGCGUAGAGAUCGGAAGGAACACCCAAGGCGAAAGCGCUCUGCUGGGCCGACACUGACACUGAGAGACGAAAGCUAGGGGAGCAAAUGGG